Dromaius novaehollandiae (emu) is the source of this 10294-nucleotide long non-coding RNA. RefSeq lists it as uncharacterized. NCBI's taxonomy places the organism in Eukaryota, Metazoa, Chordata, Aves, Casuariiformes, Dromaiidae. The record is from RefSeq and is a predicted model, not a curated record. The transcript is spliced from 8 exons.
CCGGGCUGUCCCCCCUCAGGGCGCCGCUCCUGCCACCACCGCAGGGGAAGCCACGGUGGCGGGGGGCGGGCUGCCCUGGGGUCUCCCCUGCUCUUCCCCGCCCGAGGAAGAUCGAGGUCAGGGCCCGGCGCGGGCGGUGCGAGCCCCAGGCUCCCCCGUGGGCUCCGCACGCCGCUUUCCAGAAGCGUCUGAGGGAAACGCGAGUCCCGCUUGCCCCUGGGGCAGGUGCUUUUGUUGGUGUCGUUGACGCUGGAGCGCAGUGCCGUGAGCCUUCCCUAGCUUCAGACGCGCAGGGCCCUCGGUGGCGGCGUGGGACGCACUCCAGGCUUGUGUCGGUCCCAGCCACACGUCCGCCCCGCCAGCGGCAUGGGACACGCUCCUGUCCAUGCGCUCCAAGGCCGCUCCUCGCUGCAGCCGGAGCGCGGUACGUCUGGAAGAGCAAGAAAUUCCAGCAUAUGAUGUUCCCUCUUAAUUUGCAGGCUUGAGGCAUGCCUUCCCUUCUAUAAAAGAUGCGUCGAUCCAGGAUGCACAGAUGGGUGAAGAGAGAAGUAGUCUGUCUGUGGAAGUUGGGCCCUCCCCAGGGAAACUAUAACUCUUCAGAAGCCAGCCUGUAUCCCCAUGUCUCCUGAGCACGGUUUGUGUCCGCCAGCAAUGCCGACUGGAUCUGCUGAAAAACUGAGACCUGGGAGUCCUCAGCACGCAGAGCACCUGGGCAGCGUCCCUGCGAGAGCCGUCAGAGCGGCGUUGUUCCCUGCAGAGCACGCAGGGCCCCGGGGCCGGCUGUGGCUGACCGAUGGCUGGCAAGAAGCACGCAGUGAGAGACCCGCUAGGUCUCGAGGCCAGAGCCAUCUAGGACCCCAAGUGUCUCAUGAGCACAAGGCCUACGCACAGCCCACUACAGCACCUGGGAAGGGAGCUGCAUAGCUUUCAAAGUGGAGCCAUUAAAGGACCUGAAGGAUAAACAGUGAUUCAUGUUGCAGAUGAAACUUUUGCUGUGACACCAUCAUUUAUUGGUGAGGAUCAUAUUCUGUGUGGAGGCUUAAAGAUGGUGUUUUUUUCUCAACCCACACUGCAAAUGUUAAUGUUCAUCUUCUGCCAAGGCAGUUACUUUAUUACAAUACUAAAAUAUCAUCUAAAUAAUUUAAGAAAACAUGAAGUGAAAAAACAACCCUCAACAACCUGAAGGGUAGCUGAAUAUGAGAGCAGAGACAUAGAAUCAUGCUGGGAUCCUUCUGGAGUAUUCCUUUUUUUGUUUGCUUUUUUGUUUUUUGGGGGUUUUCUACAGGGUAUAACUGCUAGGGACAAAGGUGCCUAGGUAGGGAGCAGUAAUGUUGCUGGGGUGGAACCUGCUCAGCUGGUGCAGGCUCCUGGUGAAAGCCAGAAAUGUCCCACUGAAGAGAUGUCCAUGUUCCUGGAUGCUUCUACAAAUACAUUGUGCUACUAGACAGGCACUGUAUUUUCAGGAGUGGCUUUAAAAAUAACCACAGAACAAACGUCUCCUUGUUUUUUGUUGGAGAUUGUCAUCUCACAAGUUUGUUCUGUGGCUAUGACAGAACAGGGAUCUAUCUGGUAUUAAAGGCCCAGAUUAUGGAAUGCUUUCUACUGGUAACCGUGAAUUGUCGCAUAUAAAACUAAAGUGGGACACACCGAGCACCUAGCUGCAGUCCAGACACCAAAGGGAGAUAUGGGCCCUUACAUCCAGGUGGGAUUUACUCCCAUCAUUCACUGGCAGCAUUAGACAUACAAGAAAGGGCCUGAGCUUGCCUGUGAAAGAUCCUGUAGCUUCCCUGAUGCAUUAGCUGCUGUUGCUCACCUGAGGCACGUGCUGUUUCUCAAAGGCCAGGGCUUGUGGACUGCAGUGAAACACCUUUGUAGAAAUAUUUGGUCUGUCUGGAAGUAUGAUGGUUUCAUACACACUAAAACCUUGGGUCUGUGGAGAUGGGUAACUUCAGGACAGACAAUUGUAGGCAGGUGAGAUUAUAUAGCAAUCCUUGUAGGGCUGUAGGUCUGGUGGAGUGGUUGUUGUUGCCAUGCUCCUAUAACAGAGCUAAUAAAUCUAGCUGAUAAUCCUGCUGCUGGGGUCAGUGUGCUGAGCUGACUUUGCUGGCCUUUGUGCGUUGCUCACAGCACACAUCGUGCCACUGUGCUUUCAAGAAUGACAAUAACUGAUCCUGUACGCUUUUGUGGUUAAACACCUCUACCGUGCAGGAGCCCGCUGACCCUCGCUCGAGGGCUUCGCUGGCAGGGGAGCUCACGGCCCCCGGUUCAUCCUGAACAUCGCCCUUGGAUCGAAGGACACAUGAAUCUACAAGUACCUGAGUGUCUGGUAAGAGGAUUUUAAAGGACCCAAACAUAAGACUAGGUAUGUUAGAGCAUUCAAAAUCAUCUAGCCCAGUACCCUGUCUCCAGCAGUAACUGGGGUAGGGAGGCUCAAUAAUGGGACAAAUCCCAAGUGAUCCAAGCCUGCAAAUAAGCCUCCCAGUUUCUGGUAACUAGCAGAUUAGAGACUUCCUGAGCCAGAAGCUGUAUUGGGACCAUGGGGCUUAAUAGCCACAGAUAGGCUUCUCCUCCCUGAAUUAACUGAAUCCCUUUUUGAACCCAUUUAUCCUUCUGGCUGUCAUGCAUCCCCCAAUUUAAUUACACACCGCUUGAUAACUUAACUGGGUCCCCCUUUCCUAUUGUGCUGAGAAUAAGGAACAGUCAUUCAUAGUCUCUCACCUUCUUUACACCAUUUAUCCAGAAUCUCACUACAGGCUUCUACAGUGUCUGAUGCUUAUUAAUGCCUCAGUUUAAGACUUUUGACUGAGAGUCUGUGUACUUUUUCUCAAUGGUUCUGUUACUGCAUAUAAAAGGGGAAGAGAGAGAACUGGGUAUAUUCUAAAAACUGAAGCUAGAAGGAAAACAAAGACCCUCAAGUGAAUUUCUAUUUUGAAAUCUUACGAUUUUUAAGCUAAUCCCACAUUUUUGGCAGAAGGGAGGGAAUUGUUUCAUGGAAAUACUGCAUAUUUAGUAGAAGAUCAGCCAGAGCUAGUGAAGACAAAACAAUAUGUGGGCUCUGUGGAACUCUGGUGUGAUAACAUGCUGAUGAGGCCUGGAAAUUGUUCUGGUUUCCUUGUGUUUAAAAAGUUUGGAAUGUUAUUUGUUACAGGAGACCUCUCCUCAUGAUAGAAGUGGUAUUAUGCACUAGUAUGUAUAUUACAGUUCAUCUGUAUUUGUGGAGUGUGUCUAAUAGUUCAUGAGGCUAUCCUAGCAGUGGGAGUGUGGGAAUAUGCUGUGCUGUGUUUGAAGGACCAAAGCCAUUUGCUGUUCACUACAAAUGUCUUCCUCUGUUCGGCUUCCAGGCCUUUAUGCUCGCUGAACAUACUUCUAGGAGAUGAGUUAUCCCUAAUUAUUUUCUUCUGUCAAGGUCUGACCUUAGUAGUUGUACACCCUGAUCUUCAACAGUAUGCAGUAGAGAGUGAUAACAUUAGUAAAAAAAUAACAGCUUACAGUGGCAGCCCUUUGCAAACAGUAUUGUGACAACUAAAGAGACAGGGAUGAAAAAAUCCUCAGGGUGAAGGUUCCAAUUCUACCGAGUCCAUGCAAAUGGGUGAUAAAUAUUUUAAAAGUGAUUUGAUAUAUACCAUGAUCAGUAGUGGGGGGAAAAAAGCAAAUAGCGCACAAUUUGGCAUCUUGAUUUAUUCUUAGAUAUCAUUGGAAAACCCUUGAGCUGUAUAAUUUAAUCUCUUUUUCUUAUCAAAGAUUGGCAUUAUUACCCUGAAUUCCAUAAUUCUUCUCAAUACAGAACUCACUUCAGGAUCACAGCAUCUAGAAUAUUGUUCUGAAACAUUUGGAUCAUUACAGUGAAGCUAGAUGUUAUAGCUAACGAUUAUGUUUUACUCUGCAGUGGGUGCAAUUAGAGCUACAGCUUCAAAGUAAAAUGUAGGAAAAUAUGACUGCUAGGGGGGGCAAAGAGGAGGAGAGAAAAAGUAUUGACUAGAAGCUGAUUCUGCAUAUAUGAGAAGAGAAGGGUUCAUGGCUAGUUCAUUAGGAUGAAACCUGGAGUGUACCAGAUGGGUGGGUCUGUCUGUCUCAGGCGUUUUUAAUACACUGUUUACUGUAGCAUGUAUGGUAGGUGUCACAGCUUCUGCUGGAAGCCCCUGCAGGGAAAAGCAAGUAUGAUUGGAAACACAAUGAUGAUUACAGACUUCCGUGAGCCCUGCUGCCUCUCAGCCAGGUUUGUGUGGAUGGGGAGGCGCAAAACCCCAGCCCAGGGAAGCUGAUGGCCAAGUCCCAGGGCUGGAAGGCGAUGCCUGUUGGUGACAGCACCACAGAGGUUUCCUUCAGCCUCUGGCUUCAGGCUGUUGAUGGACUUGCCUGGAGUUCAGCAAAAACAGUGCUUGGCUUUCGGUCUCAAGGUGCCAGGGUGAGGGAGUUAGAGGUGCAGACGAGGACAUACACUUCUAAGAGGCACGAGCCUGUCAGGAUGCGUCCAUUACCUCCCCUCCCUGCCGUUUCUAGAGGGAUUUUUGGUUAGACUACAGUGGGCUUUUCUUGUCCAAAUUUACCAUGCAUUUUCUCCAGCCACCUCACAACAGCAGAGCCUGCGUAACUGCACAGCUGUCUGAAAAGGUGUGGCUGGUUCUCCUUCUGCUGGUCCAUGAAUCGUUCCUGUGGCACUGAGCCAAGCCUGCUGCGGGGACUGCAUUUCGGAUAGAAAGUGAGGCAGCUUGGGCUGGGGGCAACCAUCCGCAUUCACCCACAAACGCAGGGAUUGUGAACUAGAAGAAAUCAGGACAAAGAUGUGGUUCGACAGCUGUGUCCAUUCCCAAUGCAGAAGAGAUUCCCUUUCUCUUUCUUACCUCUAAUGCAGUGAUGCAAAGCUGUUUGGGACUUACUGGUUGAGAGGGUGAUACGUGGUGUUCCUGUGAACUGAGCAGAGAACAGGAGCCAGGAAAAAUCAGCCAGUACCACCUCAGUUUGACUCAUCGUGACCUUUGUCAGGACAGCAUUGAGAUGCUGUGGCAAAGGAUGGAGUUUAAUACCAGAGAGCAAAGCUACUAACAUUUCUUUGCUAAUUGUCAUUUUGGGUCAGCUUCUGAGCUCACGCAUCCUGGCACUGUUGUCAUCCCGUGCACCUUCCAGCUUCAGGCAGGUGAGGUCUCAGCCUUCCCAGCUAAUUGUGCUCCUUUUCUCAACAAGCAAGCUGUUUUCUACUCUGUGCUGUACCCUUCCCCCUGUACAGGCAUCUUUGGAGCUGCUCUUCUGUGGCGAAUAAGGUAGGAAAACCGAGGCUUUAUGAGACUACACCUCCUCUGCAAAACACACCGAAACAGCAAUUCAAGCCGCAGCCACUGAGUGUCCCCCACUAUGCAGGAGGCCUGGAUAAAAGGUGCUUGUAAAAAGAUUUUCCUCUUUCUCUAUUUUACUUAUGUUUAUGUGGAUUGUAUCACCAUGGUAACAGCACCACAUGCCUGAUUGCCUGGCAUUUACCCAGGCAAUACCUCAUUUAAUAAAUAAUGCCUUGCUUUUAGCAUUUUUGUUCUUGGGCACAGUGCUGUGAACCUUAGGGGAGACUGCCAUCUGCAAUGCUACCACAAUUUAAGAGUGCUUCUCCUUGCUGUGGGCAAUGUGAAACCUAAUGGGUUCCACAUGUCCAGCUGACACACAACCCUGAUACCUGCUUUUUUUCUUCUCCCAUCUGAGAGAGAUGAGAAGGGUGGAUUUUAGCUGGCAUUAGCUCUUUCAUUUUUUGGUGCCACUUUAGGGAGCUGGUUGCCCAAUUCUUCAUUCCAGCUCAGAAGAGAAUCAAUACUCAUUUGCUUACAGGACUCUAUGUCUUAGUGUAGGUACCCUGGAGAUAAGGCGGCAAAGUACACAUAAAGCACCUGAGUUACAAAGGGGAACUGAGGUAGAAUUUCCCUGCCCUGGCCUCUUUCUUUCCCCUGCAGGAGAAGUUUUCAGUUUCUGGAAAUCCCCAGGACUGCUCAUCACCUCCCUCAUCAAUCCCUCAGCUUCUCCUCCGGCCCUUCUCUGAGCUGCAGCUGUGCGGAGUGCUGUGUGUCACUGAGGCCAUUUGGCACAGCGGCUAAUAACUCUUCAGGCCCCUUGCGCGGCGCGGCAGGGACCACUGGUGCGGUCACCUAGCUUGCAGCUGAGACUCCGCAGGAUCCUGUGGAUGUGAGCACCAGCAGCAGAGGCUGGGAUAAUUUUAGAAUGGUUAUAUAGAUGGACAGCUUAUUAUCAGCUUUAAGUGAAGAAACAGAACACAAGAAUGGCUGCUAAGAAGAGGAAAAGAUGCAAGGGAGGAUACUGCGCCUCUGCGUGCUUCCCUCCAGCCUCCACUGGUGCCGUGUUUCUCCUGACGUAGCCUGGCACAGCGAGGCGACCCGUGGCUUGACGUGAGUUGCUCUUGUGGGGUGAUCUGGUAGAGAGAUGGGUAAAGGCUGCAGAACUUUUGCGCCUAUAUCUUGAGGUGCAGUAAUUGAAUGACUCUGUGAAUGGGUGCCAGCAAGAACUGUGUGUACAGAGGGAGUGGGCGGUGGAGGAUGAAGGGGUUUUCUGUGGAUCAGGAGGCCUGGGUUUGAACCUCUUGGUCUUCACAGAGCACGCACGAGUCACCUCGCUGUAAAGGGGCAGGAGUUAUCAGUGGGGAUCCCAGCUGCUCAGUGUGGGACCCUUCCCGUCACUCCUCAAGGGCUGCAGGAACUGUCCUGCCAUAGCCAUGCCCAGGCCGAGGUGCAGCUCAGAAGGGGCAUCUCUGGGGAGCCCUACAUCUCUGGGGCACGCGGGACGCUGCUCUGGUCCCUCAUGGUGCCAUACCUGUCCCUCCUCAGACUGGGUCUUUCCAGCCCAUCAAACCCAUCAGCUCAGCCAUCACCUUUUAGUAUCACAGCAGUAGCAACAGGCAGCAGACUGGGAUGGAGGUUUCAUUCUGUUCGGCACCUUGGCUACAUGUAGGGAACCAGCUGUCUCUGCAUCCAGCCUGAGCUGCGCUUAACCCAUUGUGAAAGCUCUUGGUCAGCAGGGAAUUAAAACAAUUGUUUUUUCAAUGCACUUUGCUGUCCGUCUGAACUUUCUCAUCCUAAUGUGAUAUGUCUGCAAAGUAGUUAGGCUUAGUUAUUUGACUUAUAAAGUGGUAGUGGGAGCAAGGGCCAGGGGGGACAGAUUAAAGUGAACUGGGAAUCUUUAAGUGAAGAGAAAAGAGGACUAAAGGGAGCCAUGAUAACUCUUUACAAAUAGUUAGAGGCACAUAAUAAAGAGGACAGGGACCAAUUAUUCUCAUUAGUCAAUGAGAACUGAACAAGAAGAAUGGGCUUACCCUGCAGAAGGUAAAAUGUAGAUUAUGAUGGAAAAGUUCUAAGAAUAACACCACAGAAUGAGCUGCCAAGGGAAGCUAUUGAUCCUGCUUCCCCAAAGACCACACAAGCUAGAUUUUCAGAGGUAUUUCAGUCCUUAGAGAGUUGUCAAGUGUCCAUCCAUGUUUGAUGCCAAACUCGCACAGCAACCAGUGCAAGACAGUGGUCUGUCUUUUGCACUUCUAAGUUGCUGAAUAUUUUGAAAACCUGCCUGGUCCUGAAUGUGAAGUGCUCCCUCUUCUUUUCCUAUUGCUGGUACAAAAAAGCUUAAGAAAGUUUUGUCUAAAUGUGUGAAAGCUGCUCUGGCCAAACUUCUAAACAUGCUGUAAGCCAGAGGCUGCUGAUCCCCCUUUGGAGAUGUGUGUUUCAAAGACCUUCAGGGAGAAAGAGUCAUAUCACGGAUGCUCUUCAGCAGCUGUAAAGUUUGAGCUGGAGAAAUUAUGAAGUUUGCCUGAGGUAUCCAGCUGCUUCGAGUGCGAAGGGAACUCCGGUCUGCUAGGAUCAUGGGUCAGUAGAUCUAUGCUAGUGUGUGAGGGUUGUCUCUGUGAGGGAGAGUUACAGGCUUCUCCCUUUAAAGCCACAUUAUGGAUCCCAAUGAUGUAGUGCUAACAUGAGCCUUAAGUAGUAUGGAGACCUGCUACUGGGCCAUUGCAGGUUGAAAAUGCCCUCAACACCUUUGAAGAGCAACCAGUAGAACCACUUUAUUAUCUGAUAACUGAGCAAUUAACUUGUGUCACCACUGUAUAGUGUUUCUUUUGCCAUAAUAUAAAGCUUUUAAGAAGAAAAUUAAACCUGCCAAGCAUCAUUACCUGAUAAGCCUACCAAGCAAGCAGCUAUUCAGAUUUCAGUGGCCAUGAUUGAAGAACCUGGUAGAGUUCAGACAACUGAAAAAUGUAAGUGUCUGGCCAGACUCCAGAUAAUUUACCAGUACAUUAGAGAUAAUUUUUUGCUGGCUUCAUGUGUACCUGGUGACUCCUGUUCAGCUAUGCAAAUGCUUCCUGUUCUUGUUUACACCCUCAUUAUUUGCAGGUGACUUGCUAGGUACCAAGGUACAGUCUGAAGAGUCCUUAUGCCGAGACACAAACCUUUCCCAACUCCAAGUCAGUGAUGUUGCUCUGUUAGGAAUUUGCUGAUGGGUAGGUUGCUACCAGUAUCGCUUAAACAGUGUUAGGAGGGGUAAGACAGUGCUGGCUGGCUCCUCUCUGGCCUUUCUCUUCCUUUCUUUCGGAAAUAUGAGAAUCAUAAUAUUACAAGGGCAGAGUGGUCCUUUGGGUUCCUGGGGCAACUCGCCUUUGCCUGUUCUUCUCCUGAGCUGUGGGCAGACGGCAGAGAUCUCAUGGGAAACACGCGAUGGGCUGCCGGGCGGGCAGCAGCGAAUCCCCGGGGGGCAGGCGCUGAUGUCCCCGCUCACGGGGCUGCUCUGUCCGCCAGCGGCAGCACAAGUGCCACCAUCUGAGAUGGCACUGCUGAUCUCGCGCCUUCGACUGGUGCCAGGACACAGUUCAGUGCUUUUGCCCAGUGUGGCUGAGGGUUUUUUUUUUAAGAAGUAUUUUUUAGUCUAGAAUGUGCCUUUUCCUUAAAAAAAAAACAUUUUGACUAAAGAUGGCCAUGUUUUUUCCCAUGAGAACUUACAUGUCUCUUUUGAAAAACGUAAAGAGCUGGAGAAAUACCACGGAGGGUUACUGACUGAUAUGAGAAUGUUUCUGCUUCCUAGAAACUGGUAUGUAAGAGUAAGAAAUUAUACCCUUUUAUUUUAUUUUUAAAUCAAAAUUAAUGAUUUCUAUAUAAAAACUGCAGAAAAUAAAAAUCACAACACUUUGAAAUGAAAGCUACAUUUAUUUUUUCACAAAAAUGGGUUCACUCUUUAGGUGGUAGGGUUAAUCAGUGAUGCUUCCAACCAAAUGCUUCUCAUUGAAAUGGAAGUGAAAAUGAGAAUGACUUUGGGGAAAUCCGAGUAGGAAUCACGUGGUGUGUAUUAGCAGUUGGUGAGCUGGGCACGAGCAUCACUCAGGAAAUUAAAAGGAGGAUGGUAUUUUGAGGUGAUAAAACAUUAAAAUAGAAAACUUGCAUUUGAGUCUGAUCCAGCCUUAAUUUUUGCCUUUUUAAGUCGUAGCUUAUGAAAAGUUUGAUUCUGUACCAGUAACAAGUGAUGUAUUUGGGCCAUGUCAAAAGGGAGAGGGGAGAGCGAAGCAGGUCGAUGGGGCUGCAGAUGGGCUUCUCGGCGCCUCCUGAUGAGGGAGAUGAAAAACGCUGAAACAGCCCAGGUCACAGGACAGAAAAUGACCAUGCAGUCAAAAUAAAUAAAAAGGCAGGUGAGCCUACUUACACGGCCCAUUAACUGGGGCAGCGUUGUUGUAACCAGCCUUGUAGGAGUAGAUCCCUGAGCAAGAGGUGGUGGCAGGGGAACAGCCCACGCCUCUCUCAUAGCGAGUUUGGUGCGGUAGGAUCCUGACUAACGCUUACCCAUGUUUUUCUCAUAACAACAACCCUCCAGAGAAAAAGAAAGAGUUGGAAAAGAAGAUUUGGCAUGAAAUCUGUGAUGCCGUGCUGUAUCAAGGGCCUCUUGGGCCUUUUUAGGAUGAGGAAUAUCCCGCACCUGGCUGCAAUGGCGAGAGGGCUCCCAGCUCUGCGGCUGGGGGAGGCGGGGGAGUCACUGCUGUGCUGGAUUUUGGCCCAAUAACUGCUCGUUCUCCUCUACGGGCAGUUGCUCUGCUUCGGUGCGUGGGCCUGACAGAUGGAGCCGGGCGCUGGUGCCAGGAUCCAGCGGUGCCGCUCUUCUCCCACCUGCUCCAGGCGGGACAUGGGCUCGGGGGCCGUCCCCAGCCCUGGGGCCUCUGUGCUGUGUAACCGCAGCCUCCUGAGCGCAACGUUGUGUGCAGGAAGGCUGGCCACAGUCUUCCUCUUAUGGGAAGCCUCAGUUAUUCUUUGGUAAAGUUAAUAAACUGACUUUUUGCUUA